GUUAAGAAUCUUGCACAAUGGGCGCAAGCCUGAUGCAGCGACGCCGCGUGAGCGAUGAAGGCCUUCGGGUUGUAAAGCUCUUUUCUGGGGGAAGAAACAGACGGUGUAAUUACCGUCAUACUGACUGUACCUCAGGAAUAAGCCUCGGCUAAUUACGUGCCAGCAGCCGCGGUAAUACGUAAGAGGCAAGCGUUGUCCGGAAUCACUGGGCGUAAAGCGCGUGUAGGCGGCUUGGCAAGUCGGAUGUGAAAUCUCCGGGCUCAACCCGGGAACUGCGUCCGAAACUGCCUCGCUCGAGAACAGGAGAGGAGAGUGGAAUUCCGGGUGUAGCGGUGAAAUGCGUAGAUAUCCGGAGGAACACCAGUGGCGAAGGCGGCUCUCUGGCCUGUUUCUGACGCUGAGACGCGAAAGCGUGGGGAGCGAACGGGAUUAGAAACCCCAGUAGUCC
This 448-nucleotide ribosomal RNA is filed under the name uncultured bacterium. RNAcentral describes it as "bacterial SSU rRNA". It matches the Rfam family "Bacterial small subunit ribosomal RNA", at positions 354 to 796 of the family's 1533-position model. The record is from RNAcentral.